GGAUGAACGCUGGCGGCGUGCCUAAUACAUGCAAGUCGAGCGAACGGACGAGAAGCUUGCUUCUCUGAUGUUAGCGACGGACGGGUGAGUAACACGUGGAUAACCUACCUAUAAGACUGGGAUAACUUCGGGAAACCGGAGCUAAUACCGGAUAAUAUUUUGAACCGCAUGGUUCAAAAGUGAAAGACGGUCUUGCUGUCACUUAUAGAUGGAUCCGCGCUGCAUUAGCUAGUUGGUAAGGUAACGGCUUACCAAGGCAACGAUGCAUAGCCGACCUGAGAGGGUGAUCGGCCACACUGGAACUGAGACACGGUCCAGACUCCUACGGGAGGCAGCAGUAGGGAAUCUUCCGCAAUGGGCGAAAGCCUGACGGAGCAACGCCGCGUGAGUGAUGAAGGUCUUCGGAUCGUAAAACUCUGUUAUUAGGGAAGAACAUAUGUGUAAGUAACUGUGCACAUCUUGACGGUACCUAAUCAGAAAGCCACGGCUAACUACGUG
RNAcentral lists this ribosomal RNA (498 nucleotides) under uncultured bacterium. RNAcentral's name for it is "partial 16S ribosomal RNA". It matches the Rfam family "Bacterial small subunit ribosomal RNA", at positions 27 to 507 of the family's 1533-position model. The record is from RNAcentral.